UACGGGGGAGCAAGCGUUGUUCGGAUUUACUGGGCGUAAAGGGUGCGUAGGCGGGUCUUAAGUCAGGGGUGAAAUCCUGGAGCUCAACUCCCAGAACUGCCUUUGAUACUGAGGAUCUUGAGUUCGGGAGAGGUGAGUGGAACUGCGAGUGUAGAGGUGAAAUUCGUAGAUAUUCGCAAGAACACCAGUGGCGAAGGCGGCUCACUGGCCCGAUACG
Molecule: ribosomal RNA, 217 nt
Filed under: uncultured bacterium
Lineage: Bacteria
Description: partial 16S ribosomal RNA
Rfam family: Bacterial small subunit ribosomal RNA
Source: RNAcentral